ACCCUUUUAAAAGCACUCUGUGGGCUUUUCACUGCCAGCCACUGAGCCACCAAGAAAGGGCCAAGUUCAGACAUCGCUUCUGGGUGAAGUCACAGUGUUGUAUGUGUUCGGCUUCAAUCAAUAGUGUAAUAAUA
Molecule: small nucleolar RNA, 134 nt
Organism: Sorex fumeus (smoky shrew)
Lineage: Eukaryota; Metazoa; Chordata; Mammalia; Eulipotyphla; Soricidae
Source: RefSeq, a predicted model, not a curated record